Molecule: transfer RNA, 73 nt
Filed under: Camelus bactrianus (Bactrian camel)
Lineage: Eukaryota; Metazoa; Chordata; Mammalia; Artiodactyla; Camelidae
Also listed under: 1 other name
Rfam family: tRNA
About the family: Transfer RNA (tRNA) molecules are approximately 80 nucleotides in length.
Source: Rfam by way of RNAcentral
GGAGGGAUAACUCCAGUGGUAGAGCGCAUGCUUAGCAUGCACGAGGCCCUGGGUUCAAGCCCCAGUACCUCUU